GGUGAAAUGGCUGAGCUUAGGCGAUAAACUGUAAAUUUAUUUACGAAAUAUGAAUUUCUUUCACCA
Molecule: transfer RNA, 66 nt
Filed under: Sternolophus rufipes
Lineage: Eukaryota; Metazoa; Arthropoda; Insecta; Coleoptera; Hydrophilidae
Description: tRNA-Tyr
Source: RNAcentral